GUCAAUGUGAUGACGAGGACAACAGGAUUCUGUUACCGCCUUUCAGAGAGGAAAGCCUCAGGCUGCAAGCUUUCCGGCACGGACAGGAUGCUUACCGCCUCCGAACUUCAGUCGUGAACAAAAUCAGUAGCGGCUGACGGAUAUUUCCGUUAUCAUACUCAAGCCGCGCGUAAAGACGUGCGGAAAUGAGGGUGGAACCGCGUGUACAAAACUCGUCCCUUGC
Molecule: non-coding RNA, 223 nt
Filed under: Heyndrickxia coagulans
Lineage: Bacteria; Bacillati; Bacillota; Bacilli; Caryophanales; Bacillaceae
Description: Bacillus coagulans T-box sequence
Rfam family: T-box leader
About the family: Uncharged tRNA acts as the effector for transcription antitermination of genes in the T-box leader family. T-boxes are found upstream of many aminoacyl-tRNA synthetase genes and some amino acid biosynthetic genes usually in Gram-positive bacteria.
Source: RNAcentral